This 119-nucleotide ribosomal RNA is filed under the name Pteropus alecto (black flying fox). The record is from RNAcentral. Lineage: Eukaryota; Metazoa; Chordata; Mammalia; Chiroptera; Pteropodidae.
GUCUACGGCCAUGCCACCCUGAGCAUGCCUGAUCUCGUCUGAUCUCGGAAACUAAGCAGGUUCGGGCCUGGUUAGUACUUGGAUGGGAGACCACCUAGGAAUAUCAGGUUCUGUAGGUG